AGAGGACAUUCCAUUCCAAUGCAUUCCAUUCCAUUCCAUAGCAUUCCAUUGCAUUCGAUUCCAUUCCAUUUGAUGCCAUUCCAUGACAUUCCAUUCCAUUCGAGUCCAUUCCGUUCCAAUUCAUUCCAUUCCGUUUCAUGAAAUUCGAGUCCUUUCCAGUACAUUUCAUUCCAAUCCCAUCCAAUCCAAUCUACUCCAUUCAAUUCCUUUCCAUUCCAUUUGAUUUGAUUCCAUUGAUUUGAUUCCAUUCAGUUUGAUUCCAUUCCGUGAAAUUUCGUUCCAUUCUAUUCCAUUACAUUACU
Molecule: unclassified non-coding RNA, 302 nt
Filed under: Hevea brasiliensis (rubber tree)
Lineage: Eukaryota; Viridiplantae; Streptophyta; Magnoliopsida; Malpighiales; Euphorbiaceae
Source: RNAcentral